This 259-nucleotide long non-coding RNA is filed under the name Homo sapiens (human). Its description in RNAcentral is "HSALNT0126677". Lineage: Eukaryota; Metazoa; Chordata; Mammalia; Primates; Hominidae. The record is from RNAcentral.
ACAAAACAUAUGGUAAGACCACAUUUGUACAGCAUCCUUAGGGAAUAAGAUAAGUGCAUUUUUUAGGCAACAGACCCUUAACUAAUUGAAUGUCACACAUUUGCAUUUUUUAAAUGCAGUAUAAUUUAUUUUCUAAAUAAUUUCUGAUUUAUUUAAACAUUUAACUAUUUGGUUUUAUGUUUUUAAAAAUUCUAUAAUCAACUUCACAUUUUUUGGGGAAUUAGAUGAGCUUUAAAUUAUAACAGUAGCUCUUACUAUU